CUCUAUCCUGAUGAUACCUUGAUGCACGUUCUCUGGUCUCCACUUCAUACAAACAAUUGUAUGAAUUAAUCUCUGAGAAGUGCAGGUUGAUGCAGCGCUAUGAGGCUUGGAUGCGGUCCUGGAGGCAUAAAAUUCACAUGAUGUUCACAAGCGUGGUGGUUGAAAGGUGUAGAUGGAUCUAACUAAUGCUGCCAAGUAAUAUACUGACCAGUUCUAUGUUAAUUUGUUUGAUGGAUGUCCCUGAUUUGAUUGCAAAUAAUUGCAUGAGCUUUGUGACUAAUUUGUUUUCUCACAUACGUAAGUAAUUUUACUGCUGAAAUUUAAUUAAUGCCUCAGCUUGCACUUAGAUAUGUUGAUUGGUUCCCAAUGAGCUCAAAAUAGAGAAGCGCCAUGGUGUACCAUAGCUUGAGGAGAUGCAUAUGUCGUCAUUUUUUUGUGUAUUGCUGGAACAUGGUUCGCGAACCUGAGCAUCAUCCUGCUAGGCUCCCUUCCUCUGUUUCUGAUCGUUUGUUGUGACGAUAUAAUGGAGAAGAACUUUUGUUGAGUAAACUAAUACUACUGCUGUUGCUAAUCCUUUCUGUAUUGCUACAUGUAGUGUAUAAUAUGAAGGUGGACAGAUCAGCAUAAUUACUAAGAGAAUUUGAUACAUUUCAAAGAGACGAUUCAAAAGAUAUAUGGAUUUAUAUGGGUGCGUGACAAGUAUACUGCAAUGAUGAUGCCGAUGCUCCGGUUCAUGAUGAUGGUGAUGGAACUUUCAGUUUUAGUUAAGUUGUAGGGAUGUUGUUCCUGUUGGAUGAUGUUCCUCGGUUAAGUUUAGUUAAGUUGUAGGGAUGUUGAUGGAUGCUUUCAAUAUAAGUUUUGAUGUUAAGAAUACAUUUGGAUGAUGUCCCUCUUGUAAUAUCCACUGUUGUAAUCUAACUGUUUCAUCCAGUAUAUGAUAUAUGAUUUCUUUCUGUCA
Long non-coding RNA from Triticum aestivum (bread wheat), 958 nucleotides. RefSeq lists it as uncharacterized. The record is from RefSeq and is a predicted model, not a curated record. The transcript is spliced from 2 exons. NCBI's taxonomy places the organism in Eukaryota, Viridiplantae, Streptophyta, Magnoliopsida, Poales, Poaceae.